This is a non-coding RNA of Salmo salar (Atlantic salmon), 54 nucleotides long. The record is from Rfam. NCBI's taxonomy places the organism in Eukaryota, Metazoa, Chordata, Actinopteri, Salmoniformes, Salmonidae.
AAUGCACCAAUUUGUAAGUCGCUCUGGAUAAGAGCGUCUGCUAAAUGACUCAAA